ACUUUUCCUCAUGCUAGAUCUGGUGAGAUUUCCUUAUUCCAAAUCCAGGUGAUUCCCUUUGUUUUAUUUCACUUUUGAUUCGUCGUUUGUAGUAUUUUCUUGAUCAACCAUGCCACAGAGGAAGGAGUAGAUCUGACUAUUUUACUAACUGUGAUGAUUGCAAGUGUAGGUCCUUUGUUUAAUUUAAAACAAGGUUUUUCAGUUGCAACUUCCUUUUAGAACAAAUCCACAAAUUGCAGGUAUCAAUUAUGUCCGAUCAAGAGAAGCUUGGGAGCAUAUGAUCUGUUUUAUUUCUUGGUCGUUGGAUAUGAAAAUCUUAAUUCUCAUUCAUGGAUCUUGCUGGCCAUAGGAAGUCCAUGGUUUCCUCUAUAGAAGUAUCAUAUUUUUUCCUCUAAAACGAAGCCAGUGGUGCAAAAGAGGUUUAAUUUUGGCAUUUGCAAAUGCACCGCAAGAAGAUGGAAAGAAGAAAACCUAUGCGAAAUAUGCCAACAAUAUUCUAAUACGCAGGUGUUGUGCCGAAUGUUCAGUUACCCAUGGCUGCAGCUCUUGUUUGUCUUUUGAAGUGCAAGGAUUUUCUUUGCUCUUUUGUUCUCCGGCCCAGCCAAGAACAACACCGACCCUGGACAAGUCUUCGCUGCCGAACCCAUCCCUGCCGCUCCCCUGCCAACAAUGAAGACAAUCAUCAUCCU
Molecule: long non-coding RNA, 689 nt
Organism: Lolium rigidum
Lineage: Eukaryota; Viridiplantae; Streptophyta; Magnoliopsida; Poales; Poaceae
Exons: 3
Source: RefSeq, a predicted model, not a curated record